RNAcentral lists this microRNA precursor (58 nucleotides) under Sarcophilus harrisii (Tasmanian devil). Its description in RNAcentral is "Sha-Mir-430-P51_pre stem-loop". The record is from RNAcentral. Lineage: Eukaryota; Metazoa; Chordata; Mammalia; Dasyuromorphia; Dasyuridae.
AUCCUUACUAAGGGCACUUUUCAGCCAGCUGAGGGAAAAGUGCUCCUGGUGAGGAAGG